CUAUAGAGGACAUUAACACACCUGACUCACCUAUAGAGGACAUUAACACACCUGACUCACCUAUAGAGAACUAGAUUAACACAUCUGACUCACCUAUAGAGGAGAUUAACACACCUGACUCACCUAUAGAGGAGAUUAACACACCUGACUCACCUAUAGAGGACUAGAUUAACACACCUGACUCACCUAUAGAGAUUAACACACCUGACUCACCUAUAUAGAUUAACACGUGUUUCUGAAACAGAGGGUCACUAAGCCGUGGUACGGACAGGGAAAGGUUAGCAUCACAGUGAUGCCACUCACACACACAGCAGGUAUGGACUAGUCUGUGUUGUGGGCACCUGGGUUCACGUUGGGCUAUUCGUCCUUAUUAAGACAUAUAUUUCCUUAUACAUUGAUAUGCAUUUUCCUAAUACAUUUAUAUAUUUCCUUAUACGUGUAUAUAUAUUAAAAUAUAUAUUUGUAUAUAUUCCUGGCAUUACUUGAUGAAAUUUCUCUUUUGAAUAUGAACUGAAAUGAUGUUUCAUAUCCACAGCUUUGUACUUAUUUUGGACAGUGUUGAGCACCAGGUUCCUACGUGUUCGUACCUACAACGAAAUGAUAGGAGAUUAUUUCAUUAUUUUUCUACUUUUUAAAUAUUUUGGCUGGUUUGGGUGUAACUAAGGCAACAGGGUUAAAAAGGCACAGAUUGUUGACCCGAGCAGCAUGUUGGUGGUUUACACUGUUAUAACAACAUGUCAAUCCCAUAUUCUUCUUUUCAUUAGGACUUGUUUAAUUUCAGUUGAAAUAUAUGUCCUGUCCUGUGCUUCCUGUCCUGUGUGUUGUCCGAGGUAAUGUUUGUAUAGAACACAUUCAAGAUGUGAAGUUUGUCCUAAAUGGAAUGCCUAUUCCCUACAUAGUGCACUACUUUAGACCAGAGCCCUAUAGAACCCUAUUCCCUAUAUAGUGCACUACUUUAGACCAGAGCCCUAUAGAACCCUAUUCCCUAUAUAGUGCACUACUUUAGACCAGAGCCCUAUAGAACCCUAUUCCCUAUAUAGUGCACUACUUUAGACCAGAGCCCUAUAGAACCCUAUUCCCUAUAUAGUGCACUACUUUAGACCAGGGCCCUAUAGAACCCUAUUCCCUAUAUUGUGCACUACUUUAGACCAGAGCCCUAUAGAACCCUAUUCCCUAUAUAGUGCACCACUUUAGACCAGAGCCUUAUGGUCAGCCCUAUGGGUCCUGGUCUAAAGUAGUGCACUAUAUAGGGAAUAGGGUUCUAUAGGGCCCUGGUCUAAAGUAGUGCACUAUAUAGGGAAUAGGACCCUGGUCUAAAGUAGUGCACUAUAUAUGGUUCUAUAUGGCUCUGGUCUAAAGUAGUGCACUAUAUAUGGUUCUAUAGGGCCCUGGUCUAAAGUAGUGCACUAUAUAUGGUUCUAUAGGGCCCUGGUCUAAAGUAGUGCACUAUAUAUGGUUCUAUAGGGCCCUGGUCUAAAGUAGUGCACUAUAUAGGGAAUAGGACCCUGGUCUAAAGUAGUGCACUAUAUAUGGUUCUAUAGGGCCCUGGUCAAAAGUAGUGCACUAUAUAUGGUUCUAUAGGGCCCUGGUCUAAAGUAGUGCACUAUAUAGGGUUCUAUAGGGCCCUGGUCUAAAGUAGUGCACUAUAUAGGGUUCUAUAGGGCCCUGGUCUAAAGUAGUGCACUAUAUAUGGUUCUAUAGGGCCCUGGUCUAAAGUAGUGCACUAUAUAGGGAAUAGGACCCUGGUCUAAAGUAGUGCACUAUAUAGGGUUCUAUAGGGCCCUGGUCUAAAGUAGUGCACUAUAUAUGGUUCUAUAGGGCCCUGGUCUAAAGUAGUGCACUAUAUAGGGAAUAGGACCCUGGUCUAAAGUAGUGCACUAUAUAUGGUUCUAUAGGGCCCUGGUCUAAAGUAGUGCACUAUAUAUGGUUCUAUAGGGCCCUGGUCUAAAGUAGUG
Long non-coding RNA from Oncorhynchus tshawytscha (Chinook salmon), 1955 nucleotides. The record is from Ensembl. NCBI's taxonomy places the organism in Eukaryota, Metazoa, Chordata, Actinopteri, Salmoniformes, Salmonidae.